This 397-nucleotide ribosomal RNA is filed under the name uncultured bacterium. RNAcentral's name for it is "partial 16S ribosomal RNA". It matches the Rfam family "Bacterial small subunit ribosomal RNA", at positions 523 to 918 of the family's 1533-position model. The record is from RNAcentral.
AUACGUAGGGGGCGAGCGUUGUCCGGAAUGAUUGGGCGUAAAGGGCGCGUAGGCGGCGCGGUAAGUCUGGAGUGAAAGUCCUGCUUUCAAGGUGGGAAUUGCUUUGGAUACUGCCGCGCUUGAGUGCAGGAGAGGUUAUCGGAAUUCCCGGUGUAGCGGUGAAAUGCGUAGAGAUCGGGAGGAACACCAGUGGCGAAGGCGGGUAACUGGACUGCAACUGACGCUGAGGCGCGAAGGUGUGGGGAGCAAACAGGAUUAGAUACCCUGGUAGUCCACACUGCAAACGAUGAAUGCUAGGUGUAAGAGGUAUCGACCCCUUUUGUGCCGGAGUCAACACAAUAAGCAUUCCGCCUGGGGAGUACGGCCGCAAGGUUGAAACUCAAAUGAAUUGACGGGG